This 1264-nucleotide ribosomal RNA is filed under the name Canistrocarpus cervicornis. RNAcentral's name for it is "eukaryotic LSU rRNA". It matches the Rfam family "Eukaryotic large subunit ribosomal RNA", at positions 23 to 1256 of the family's 3401-position model. Lineage: Eukaryota; Phaeophyceae; Dictyotales; Dictyotaceae. The record is from RNAcentral.
ACCCGCUGAAANUUUAGCAUAUAACUAAGCGGAGGAAAAGAAACUAACAAGGAUUCCCCCAGUAACGGCGAGUGAAGCGGGAAGAGCUCACGUUGUGAAUCUGGCCUUCGGGCCCGAACUGUACCCUGGAGAGGCGAGGCCAGCCGCUGUCCGCGGCCAAGUCUGAUUGGAAAUAAGCAUCAAGGAGGGUGACAAUCCCGUCCAUGCCGCGGUAUUCACCAGCGCGCGUCCGGCCCGCUUUCGACGAGUCGAGUUGCUUGGGAUUGCAGCUCAAAGUGGGUGGUAAACUCCAUCCAAAGCUAAACACGGGGGGGAGACCGAUAGCGAACAAGUACCGUGAGGGAAAGAUGCAAAGAACUUUGAAAAGAGAGUUAAAGAGUGCCUGAAAUUGCUGGAAGGGAAGCGAAGGAAAGAAGUGUGCGGUAGCCCGGGCGCCAAUCCCCACCUGCCUCCCCUCGCGGGGGGGCGUGGGGGUAGGCCGCUCGGCCGCGGUCAGGGGAAGCGCUGAGCUCGUGGGAAGAGCCGCGGGGGAUCGGUAGGCGGCCCGCUUCGGCGGGGCGCUGUCAGGCCCCCGCGGUGUUGUUGUUGUCACGAAGGACGGCCCCCGUCUGGCGGUUGCGGCUUUUCUUCACCCCGUCUUGAAACACGGACCAAGGAGUCUAGCGUGGACGCGAGUAUAGGGGCGUGGAAACCCCCUUGCGAAAUGAAGGUGAACGCCGGUGGGAGGCGGCCGGCCGUUUGUUCGGGCGGGCGCCAGCACCAUCGACCGAGCGUGUCCCCCCGGGGGCAAGGCUUGCGUGUGAGCGUGCAUGCUGGGACCCGAAAGAUGGUGAACUAUGCCUGAAGAGGGCGAAGCCAGGGGAAACUCUGGUGGAGGCUCGUAGCGAUUCUGACGUGCAAAUCGAUCGUGAGAUUUGGGUAUAGGGGCGAAAGACUAAUCGAACCAUCUAGUAGCUGGUUCCCUCCGAAAUUUCCCUCAGGAUAGCAGCGGCCGAUGCAGAACAGUUUUAUCAGGUAAAGCGAAUGAUUAGAGGCUGCGGGGGAGUAACUCCCUCGCCCUAUUCUCAAACUUUAAAUGGGUAAGGAGCCGGGGUCGCUUGACUGGACCCUCGGCAUGGAAUGGCUGGUCGUUAGUGGGCCAGUCCGGGUAAGCUGGACUGGCGAUGCGGGAUGAACCGAACGCCUAGAUGAAGCGCCUCACUGCCCGCUCACCUAGAUCCCACAAAAGGUGUUGGUUCAUUCAGACAGCAGGACGGUGGCCAUG